This 148-nucleotide non-coding RNA is filed under the name Pan troglodytes (chimpanzee). Lineage: Eukaryota; Metazoa; Chordata; Mammalia; Primates; Hominidae. The record is from Rfam by way of RNAcentral.
GCCGGGCGUGGUGGCACAUGUCUGUAAUCCCAGCUACUGGGGAGGCUGAGGCAGAAGAAUCACUUGAACCCAGGAGGCGGAGGGUGCAGUGAGCCCAGAUCAUGCCACUGCACUCCAGCCUGGGUAACAGAGUGAGACUCGGUCUCAA